This is a long non-coding RNA of Globicephala melas (long-finned pilot whale), 1654 nucleotides long. RefSeq lists it as uncharacterized. The record is from RefSeq and is a predicted model, not a curated record. NCBI's taxonomy places the organism in Eukaryota, Metazoa, Chordata, Mammalia, Artiodactyla, Delphinidae.
AGAGGUACGCAUGAAGAUAAUAUGUCAUUUUCAGAGAAUAAGGAACUAUAUUUUUCUGCAAACUUGAGUAUACUAUGCACAACGCGGUAAUUCCAGAAAAACUCAAAAUCUUAUUUAAAGUUACAGAUCACAAGAUUUUUUCCAGUUGUUUAUAACUAAAAGCUAACUCAGCUAGCUUUAACCAAGAAGGGGAUUUUCCAAAAACUGCACCAUCAAGGAGUGGAACUCGCCUUAAAGACAUCUGAAAGCUCCAGACUUUCACGGACUCCCUUCCGGCUAGUCGUGGCGCACUAACUCCUUCAGGCUGUGCUCACGCAGCCAACCGCAGUCCUCUUCCUGGGAUCUAAGCUCUGAACCCCGAGCCUCAGCUCCCAGCCCCCGCGCACCCCGGCGGGUGAGCCGACAAGCCUCUCGAGCUGCUAGAAGAAUAAAAAAAGCUGUCUGACAAUGGAAGUGUCUUCUUAGCCAUAGAGUAUUUUUAAAGAGAAAAUGAAUCUCAGUCUGAUGAACAGGUUGGAGAGGAGGUUCAUGAAUAAAAUUGGUUUGACUAAAUAAAUUCUAUGUCAUUGUGGUUGAAACAAAGACCAGUAAUCUAACAUCUGGUUGCAGAUUUAAAAAGAGAACACUGCCUUCUUUCACAAAGCUCUGCCUCAUUAAGAAUAGAAUGCUCAGGCUUCCCGGGUGGCGCAGUGGCUGAGAAUCUGCCUGCCAAUGCAGGGGACACGGGUUCGAGCCCUGGUCUGGGAAGAUCCCACAUGCCGUGGAGCAACUGGGCCCAUGAGCCACAACUACUGAGCCUGCGCAUCUGGAGCCUGUGCUCUGCAACAGGAGAGGCCGCGACAGUGAGAGGCCCGUGCACCGCGAUGAGGAGUGGCCCCUGCUCGCCGCAACCAGAGAAAGCCCUCGCACAGAAACGAAGACCCAACGCAGCCAAAUAAAUAAAUAAAUAAUUUUUUUUAAAAAAAAAAGAAUAGAAUGCUCUGGUGUAUUUAAAAUGGUUUCUUUUUCUCUCCCCCUGCUAGAAGCAUGAGAGGAUUAUUCUUCAUUAUUCACCUUGAUAAACUGGUUAUGCUCUUGGAAGUGAACUCUUUACUGAUUUUUAACUCUGUUCACCAUUUUACUUGUUGUUAGGACAGUGUGGUGACUUCAAGAUUCCUUACUUGUGGAACCAAAAAUGAGAAGUAUUUAGAUGGCUGUUUUUUGGCUAGAGAGGAAUGGUGGUAUAGACCUAUGGAUCUCCUAAGUUGGUAUAUGUAACCCUAGCUGCAGUUAGAUUCAUGUAUUGGGGUCACAGUUUGUCACUCAUCACUCUGUUUCUUCUUUUCUGUUUCCUUAAUUGCAAACUUUGCUUAGGAAUGACUGUUGCCUACCCUCCAAACUCUGAAUCAAUACUGUGUUACUGUAAGAAGCUCAGACUGGCUUUUAUAAUUAAAGUACUAGGGCUUCCCUGGUGGCACAGUGGUUGACAGUCCGCCUGCCAAUGCAGGGGACGCGGGUUUGUGCCCUGGUCCGGGAGGAUCCCACAUGCUGCGGAGCGGCUGGGCCUGUGAGCCAUGGCCGCUGAGCCUGUGCGUCCGAAGCCUGUGCUCCGCAACGGGAGAGGCCACAACAGUGAGAGGCCCAUGUACCGCAAAAAAAAAAAAAAAAAAAAAAA